This 608-nucleotide ribosomal RNA is filed under the name Trichoderma asperellum. RNAcentral describes it as "eukaryotic LSU rRNA". The stretch from base 220 to 373 matches the Rfam family "5.8S ribosomal RNA". Lineage: Eukaryota; Fungi; Ascomycota; Sordariomycetes; Hypocreales; Hypocreaceae. The record is from RNAcentral.
AAAAAGAUCUCGUUGGUGACCAGCGGAGGGACAUUACCGAGUUUACAACUCCCAAACCCAAUGUGAACGUUACCAAACUGUUGCCUCGGCGGGGUCACGCCCCGGGUGCGUCGCAGCCCCGGAACCAGGCGCCCGCCGGAGGAACCAACCAAACUCUUUCUGUAGUCCCCUCGCGGACGUAUUUCUUACAGCUCUGAGCAAAAAUUCAAAAUGAAUCAAAACUUUCAACAACGGAUCUCUUGGUUCUGGCAUCGAUGAAGAACGCAGCGAAAUGCGAUAAGUAAUGUGAAUUGCAGAAUUCAGUGAAUCAUCGAAUCUUUGAACGCACAUUGCGCCCGCCAGUAUUCUGGCGGGCAUGCCUGUCCGAGCGUCAUUUCAACCCUCGAACCCCUCCGGGGGAUCGGCGUUGGGGAUCGGGACCCCUCACACGGGUGCCGGCCCCGAAAUACAGUGGCGGUCUCGCCGCAGCCUCUCCUGCGCAGUAGUUUGCACAACUCGCACCGGGAGCGCGGCGCGUCCACGUCCGUAAAACACCCAACUUUCUGAAAUGUUGACCUCGGAUCAGGUAGGAAUACCCGCUGAACUUAAGCAUAUCAAUAAGCGGAGGA